This 500-nucleotide ribosomal RNA is filed under the name uncultured bacterium. Its description in RNAcentral is "partial 16S ribosomal RNA". It matches the Rfam family "Bacterial small subunit ribosomal RNA", at positions 30 to 523 of the family's 1533-position model. The record is from RNAcentral.
AUUGAACGCUGGCGGCAGGCCUAACACAUGCAAGUCGAGCGGAUGACGGGAGCUUGCUCCUUGAUUCAGCGGCGGACGGGUGAGUAAUGCCUAGGAAUCUGCCUGGUAGUGGGGGACAACGUUUCGAAAGGAACGCUAAUACCGCAUACGUCCUACGGGAGAAAGCAGGGGACCUUCGGGCCUUGCGCUAUCAGAUGAGCCUAGGUCGGAUUAGCUAGUUGGUGGGGCAAUGGCUCAACAAGGCGACGAUCCGUAACGGGUCUGAGAGGAUGAUAGGUCACAAUGGAACUGAGCCACGGUCCAGACUCCUACGGGAGGCAGCAGUGGGAAAUAUGGGACAAUGGGCGACAGCCUGAUCCAGCCAUGCCGCGUGUGUGAAGAAGGUCUUCGGAUUGUAAAGCACUUUAAGUUGGGAGGAAGGGCAGUAAGCUAAUACCUUGCUGUUUUGACGUUACCGACAGAAUAAGCACCGGCUAACUCUGUGCCAGCCGCCGCCGUAA